GACACUUGAUUAUAAUAACUGAUAGAUCUAUUCUACUGAAAUUAUUUUUUUACUGUCUAGUCUGUUGACUAAUAAGCUAUGGCAGGAAAAAGACUAUGAACCAGUGAAAAGAAAGGGACACUCCACUGUCCAGGUAGGAGACUACCUGUAUAUGUGUACAUGUAAUCAUGUGAUUAUCAUUCUACAACUCCUCCAUGUUCUCUUAAUGAAUGGGUAUACAAGAGGAACUAAGAGACAAACCUCAUGGUCUGUGGGGUAAGGCAUUGGCAAACAAAUACAAUAAUUAAGGUUUCUAAAGAGGAUCCUUCAAAUAUUCUUGACAGGAUAAAGAAGUUGUCUUUUGCAAAAGUUAACAGUGUAUUAGAAGAAAAUCCAAUUAUUUUAAAGUUGAACAAUAAAGGUAUGAGAAGGUUGAAGGACAAAUUUUGCUCUAUUAAUUAACAUUGUUUCUUAUUCCUUCCUCAUACUUCUUGUAUUUCCCAAUCCUCCUCCUUUACUAUGUCUCCCUCUUCCUUUCCUUCUCUCUUGCUUUUCUAUUUUACUGCCCCUCCUCAAGUCCUCCUCCUCCAUUUCUUAAGAUUGGCUCCUCUCCUAGCUCUUUCUCUCUCUCUUUGUUAGCUCCUCGCUCUUCCUUUCUCCCAGUAAAAUUAUCAGCUCCAUCAGUUAUAUAAAUGCAUGCAUAUUUGUAGCAUCAAUAAGAGUAUUACAAUGCAUAAGUUUUCUAUAUUUUCCCUCCGCAAAGAAGAGGAACAGUGAACUUAAAUCCUGAAGUGCAUGACUUAAAAAUUCAUGAUUCAUUGUGUUCAGCUUGAUAUAUAAUUUUAAAAAGUAUUUAUGGCUAUAUUUUAUCUGUCCAUGUGUUGUCAUGUGACAUUACCGAGCUAAGUGCUUCUCUGGCUUAAAGGAUUAUCCUGCUGCUAGAAGAAAGUUGAAAGAAAUGUGGGUUUUUAGCCUAUUUCCAAAGUCUCAGAAUAUGCUACAUAACAGUCCACUUUAGAGGUACCAAGCUUGUUCAUUGAAGGAGAGCUCAUCUAAGCCAUUAAUUUACAAAAUGGUCACAAUCUUGAACAAUUCACUAUACACACUAAUACAUAAAUAAUCACAGUAAUCAAAACUAAGAAUUCCUUGACUUUAAUCUC
Amphimedon queenslandica is the source of this 1139-nucleotide long non-coding RNA. RefSeq lists it as uncharacterized. NCBI's taxonomy places the organism in Eukaryota, Metazoa, Porifera, Demospongiae, Haplosclerida, Niphatidae. The transcript is spliced from 3 exons. The record is from RefSeq and is a predicted model, not a curated record.